Molecule: long non-coding RNA, 1092 nt
Filed under: Anas platyrhynchos platyrhynchos (common mallard)
Lineage: Eukaryota; Metazoa; Chordata; Aves; Anseriformes; Anatidae
Description: lncRNA (ENSAPLG00000023734.1)
Source: RNAcentral
AUGUCAAAGGGUUAAAUUAUCUUUUUACAUAAAAUAUCACCACUGACGUCCAGACAGCAUGGACUGUGAUUUUGAGUUACAGAAGAUGGUGCUAUGCAACAAAGACAAAAAGCCGUGGAGGUCAAAUGAUGUCAGAAAAGUUUAGGUUUCAAAACUACUCGGGACCUGUUACCAGGGGAGUAAGCAAAGAUCUCCAAGAAAUGUAUUGCCUAAGAGGAUAGAAAGCACUGUGACCUAGUACUCUGAGCAUAAGGAAUGAGGAAUUUAUUUCUACUCUGUCACUGAUUAGCUAUACAAACUCAUAUAAAUUCUAUUGCCUUUUUGUUUCCCUUAGUCUCCCAUAUUAUGUUGAGCAAUCAUGAUCUCUUGUCAAUCUGUCAGUCACUAAAAACUGUGGCUUGCUGUUGUUUCGUUCUGCUUUGUUUUUUCCCCUCCUGUGUUAAUACUGCUUAUUAGUGGUCUAUCCCAUCUCUGAAUCUUGCAAUGUGUUUCUUUGGCACUCUGAAAACUAUUGUUUCUGAAGGUAAUCACCCAAAAAAUGUUGAUAGUCUACACAUAGCUUUUCAUGCAGGUGUGGCUUAUCCCAUAGACGAGAGCCAUCUUUUCUGCUGAUAGACCUCACCACUUCAUGGAAGAAACAACCACAGAAAUGCUAGCAUGGAAAAACUGACAACAGCGUCAUCACCUGCCUCCUACUGGGUCUGCUUAAGUGACCUGAGACAACCACAGCACACAACAGGGUUCACAGAUGCCAGCGCACCCUCUAUUUCAAAUGUCAUGUUUGAAUGCCUCAGGCCUAAUUGUUGGUUCAGCUGUCAUAAACCAUGGGGAAAGUUGACUGAAGGUCUCAUGGCAAAGGAGGAUAGGGGCAUUGUAUUUUAAGUUGCCUGGGGCAUAAGGGACAAAGGCUUCCUUGUUUCAAGCAGAGUAAACUCAUCAAGUCCACAUUUUUUCAAGUUGGGUUUUGCCCUGGGACCAGAAAUUGUUAGAAUGAGUGAAAGGACAAAAAGGCAAGUGAUUUACAAUCCAGUGGGGAAAAAUUGCAUUAAACGCAAUAAUAAACUGAGAAACAAAACAUCUUUCUCUGAUUAU